GAUGAACGCUGGCGGCGUGCCUAAUACAUGCAAGUCGAGCGAACGGACGAGAAGCUUGCUUCUCUGAUGUUAGCGGCGGACGGGUGAGUAACACGUGGAUAACCUACCUAUAAGACUGGGAUAACUUCGGGAAACCGGAGCUAAUACCGGAUAAUAUUUUGAACCGCAUGGUUCAAAAGUGAAAGACGGUCUUGCUGUCACUUAUAGAUGGAUCCGCGCUGCAUUAGCUAGUUGGUAAGGUAACGGCUUACCAAGGCAACGAUGCAUAGCCGACCUGAGAGGGUGAUCGGCCACACUGGAACUGAGACACGGUCCAGACUCCUACGGGAGGCAGCAGUAGGGAAUCUUCCGCAAUGGGCGAAAGCCUGACGGAGCAACGCCGCGUGAGUGAUGAAGGUCUUCGGAUCGUAAAACUCUGUUAUUAGGGAAGAACAUAUGUGUAAGUAACUGUGCACAUCUUGACGGUACCUAAUCAGAAAGCCACGGCUAACUACGUGCCAGCAGCCGCGGUAAUACGUAGGUGGCAAGCGUUAUCCGGAAUUAUUGGGCGUAAAGCGCGCGUAGGCGGUUUUUUAAGUCUGAUGUGAAAGCCCACGGCUCAACCGUGGAGGAUCAUUGGAAACUGGAAAACUUGAGUGCAGAAGAGGAAAGUGGAAUUCCAUGUGUAGCGGUGAAAUGCGCAGAGAUAUGGAGGAACACCAGUGGCGAAGGCGACUUUCUGGUCUGUAACUGACGCUGAUGUGCGAAAGCGUGGGGAUCAAACAGGAUUAGAUACCCUGGUAGUCCACGCCGUAAACGAUGAGUGCUAAGUGUUAGGGGGUUUCCGCCCCUUAGUGCUGCAGCUAACGCAUUAAGCACUCCGCCUGGGGAGUACGACCGCAAGGUUGAAACUCAAAGGAAUUGACGGGGACCCGCACAAGCGGUGGAGCAUGUAGUUUAAUUCGAAGCAACGCGAAGAACCUUACCAAAUCUUGACAUCCUUUGACAACUCUAGAGAUAGAGCCUUCCCCUUCGGGGGACAAAGUGACAGGUGGUGCAUGGUUGUCGUCAGCUCGUGUCGUGAGAUGUUGGGUUAAGUCCCGCAACGAGCGCAACCCUUAAGCUUAGUUGCCAUCAUUAAGUUGGGCACUCUAAGUUGACUGCCGGUGACAAACCGGAGGAAGGUGGGGAUGACGUCAAAUCAUCAUGCCCCUUAUGAUUUGGGCUACACACGUGCUACAAUGGACAAUACAAAGGGCAGCGAAACCGCGAGGUCAAGCAAAUCCCAUAAAGUUGUUCUCAGUUCGGAUUGUAGUCUGCAACUCGACUACAUGAAGCUGGAAUCGCUAGUAAUCGUAGAUCAGCAUGCUACGGUGAAUACGUUCCCGGGUCU
This 1372-nucleotide ribosomal RNA is filed under the name uncultured bacterium. Its description in RNAcentral is "bacterial SSU rRNA". It matches the Rfam family "Bacterial small subunit ribosomal RNA", at positions 28 to 1381 of the family's 1533-position model. The record is from RNAcentral.